RNAcentral lists this ribosomal RNA (343 nucleotides) under Pseudomonas aeruginosa. RNAcentral's name for it is "partial 23S ribosomal RNA". It matches the Rfam family "Bacterial large subunit ribosomal RNA", at positions 829 to 1169 of the family's 2925-position model. Lineage: Bacteria; Pseudomonadati; Pseudomonadota; Gammaproteobacteria; Pseudomonadales; Pseudomonadaceae. The record is from RNAcentral.
CCAAUCAAACCGGGAGAUAGCUGGUUCUCCCCGAAAGCUAUUUAGGUAGCGCCUCGUGAAUUCAUCUUCUGGGGUAGAGCACUGUUUCGGCUAGGGGGUCAUCCCGACUUACCAACCCGAUGCAAACUACGAAUACCGAAGAAUGUUAUCACGGGAGACACACGGCGGGUGCUAACGUCCGUCGUGAAGAGGGAAACAACCCAGACCGCCAGCUAAGGUCCCAAAGUCAUGGUUAAGUGGGAAACGAUGUGGGAAGGCACAGACAGCCAGGAUGUUGGCUUAGAAGCAGCCAUCAUUUAAAGAAAGCGUAAUAGCUCACUGGUCGAGUCGGCCUGCGCGGAAG